RNAcentral lists this transfer RNA (75 nucleotides) under Candidatus Altimarinota bacterium. Its description in RNAcentral is "tRNA-Glu". It matches the Rfam family "tRNA". Rfam says of the family: Transfer RNA (tRNA) molecules are approximately 80 nucleotides in length. Their secondary structure includes four short double-helical elements and three loops (D, anti-codon, and T loops). Further hydrogen bonds mediate the characteristic L-shaped molecular structure. tRNAs have two regions of fundamental functional importance: the anti-codon, which is responsible for specific mRNA codon recognition, and the 3' end, to which the tRNAs corresponding amino acid is attached (by aminoacyl-tRNA synthetases). tRNAs cope with the degeneracy of the genetic code in two manners: having more than one tRNA (with a specific anti-codon) for a particular amino acid; and 'wobble' base-pairing, i.e. permitting non-standard base-pairing at the 3rd anti-codon position. Lineage: Bacteria; Candidatus Altimarinota. The record is from RNAcentral.
GCGGCUAUCGUCUAGUGGUUAGGACAUCGGGUUUUCAUCCCGGUAACCGGAGUUCAAUUCUCCGUAGCCGUACCA